UUUUUUUUUUUAAUUUUGGGCCUUUAUAAUUGUAUAUUGCUGAUAAAUACAAGCGUAUGGGGACUCUCUCUAUUAAACCCAGGACUCCAGCGAAAUUGCAGGGAAUUCAUGGUCACGGGACUGGCCUCGGCCAAUCGCUCGUCUGGGCCUGGUGGAAAACAGAGAGCAUUAUUUGCUUUAAUUGAUUCAAAAACUCUAGAGGACCACGACCUGGACACUGUGAGCCCCAAGUCCUACACUCCCUCUCCCCAAAGCCUCCCUUUCUCCAGAAAAGCUGGAGGAAACUUUCUCUCAUCCCCUUCAGAGGAUGGGAGGUUCCGAAAGCUGGGACACAAGAGAAUCUAAGGGAGAAGUCUUCCUCUUUUCCAAAUAUUUGUAAUAGAAUAUAUUAAUACAUUCUUUACAAUGCCAGCAGCAUUUUCUUCCCCACCCUUCCCCCAUUAAAAAAAGAAAAAAGAAGAAAAGAAAGAAAGAAAACUGAGUAAGGAUCUCAAUGUGGGAGAAAGAGGUAGUAGAAAGAGGCUUCCAUCCUUUGGGAAAGGUCAGUGUUAAGGUGCAAUAAGGAAGAGAAGAGAUUUACAAUCACCAGCACCACCAUCCUCAUCCCACCCCCCAAAAGCAACAGAUAAAUCUUGGAAAAUCGACAGGCACUCCCAGGUUGACACGGAGGAGUGAAAUAGAUGGUGGGGGACCCUUUUGGGCCUCUGGCAGCCAUAGCUGUGUGGUCUCAGUUUCCUCCUCUGCCUGGUGUUUGCGGCAGUGCCCCUGCCCCUAUGUCCACCUGCCUUCCUUACCUGGAGUCUUCAUCUCACUCCUUUUUGAUACCCCACAAUGGACAGGGUCUAAGGUGCAUGUGCUCCCAUUGGAGCCUCAAGUCUGUAUCUACAUCUGUCUCCAGGGACGCGAACAAGAACCGAGGUAGUGCGAUUUAACUUAGAGCACUCUCAAACUCAGGUCAAUGUGUGGGGGGAGGAUUUCCCUCCCAGGACAAACAGUAUCCCCUCUCCCAUUUUUGCCAGUGUGCUAGUUUAAAAAUAAUAAUAAUAAUCCUUGGCAAGAAAGAAUUAUCUGAGCAUGGAGGGGGUAAAAACAAUGAAUAAGGAGAUGAUAUUCCAUUUCUGGCCCCCGGGAGGGGGGGAGAUUUUUUAUUUUUUAUUUUUUAUUUUUUGAGGGGAUCAAGAGAGUGCUGAACUUUAGGGAGUGCUGUAAUUUACUGGAGAGAGGGGACACAUAACUCGGGGCCCCAAGCAAUUGGUGGGAAACUAGAUCUCAAAGCAGAAAAUGAAAAGUCGAUCUGGGGAAAGAUUUUUAAAUAAGUGGGUCAGAGGGACCGAGAGGAGAUGAGGCGAUCAAUCUUAGCCCCCUGACAGCUCCCUCCGAUGGCAUCAAAGAAUUUGGCUCUUUGGGAAAGCAGAGGGAACAGCCGAAAUUCCACAUCCCUUUAAAAGGCCUGGGGGUGGGGGUGAUAGCAAGAGAGAAAGGUGAUUCUGGGAGAGCGGGGAAACAGAUGGGAAAUGGGGACAGAGGGAAGGACGCUGAGUUGGGUGGAAAGUUUGUCUGGAGAACUCCCACGGCUCUGGCCUCCCCUCCCCCUCCUCCUCUCCGCGGGCCCGGCAAGGAGGAGAAAGCUGGUUAGCAGAGAAAUGGCAACUCAGCCGGCAGCUGGAACUAGAAACUUUCUGUCAAUGUAACAGCCGCGUGGGUGGCGGUGAGUAUUCAUCCGCGUGGGUGGCGACCCAAUGGUGGUUGGGCUUCGGGUCACGUGACGACUUCUUUGUAGCUCCGGAAGAGAACUGUGAAGUUUAGGUUGCUUGGAAGAAGCAGUAAAUGGCCAGAUUUUGUUGUUGUUGUUGUUGUUGUUGUUGGGUAAGGGGUGGCCAGGAAGUUGUGGCCAAAGGAGCAAGAAGACAAAAGGUCAAUGAGAAAAACUGAGAGGAGAAUUGCAAGAAAAAAAAGUCAAGAUUUGGAGAAAUUACCCACAGAGAGAGAAGGUCUCUCAUCCAAGCAGAGUCUAGCCUGAAGGAAAAAAAACAGAGGAUCUCCGAAAGAGACAGGAAGGAGAAGCAAGUUGAGCAGGCAACCUUCUCCUGUGAGGAGCCCUCUCUUUCCCCUCCCACCUCACGAAGACAACAACAGCCUGACCUAGAAACUUCCUGAAGAUUUUUAACAUCCAGAGCCAGCAGAACCGAGCCUCCUCCAUGGCCCUGGGCAGGCAGUCUGUUUCCUCUGAUUUCUCCAAAAGAAGAAAAGAAGAGAGAAACUGGAUAACUGCUGGACUUUUCUACCAAGAGAUGCUAAAGUGCUUCCUGAAUGAGAACACCUUUUCCCAAGGCAAAAAAGAAAGUCAACAGAGCAAUCAGAACAAUAUUAUUCUCUGGGUUGGAAACAGGGUAUCUUGUUUACUAAAGUUUUCCAAGUUAAAAAAAAAUCAUGAUUUUAACGCAGACUUUUAAAACUGUGCAGAAAAAAAUAAAGCUUCAAGCUGUCA
Molecule: long non-coding RNA, 2488 nt
Organism: Mirounga angustirostris (Northern elephant seal)
Lineage: Eukaryota; Metazoa; Chordata; Mammalia; Carnivora; Phocidae
Exons: 5
Source: RefSeq, a predicted model, not a curated record